RNAcentral lists this ribosomal RNA (468 nucleotides) under uncultured bacterium. RNAcentral's name for it is "partial 16S ribosomal RNA". It matches the Rfam family "Bacterial small subunit ribosomal RNA", at positions 28 to 507 of the family's 1533-position model. The record is from RNAcentral.
GACGAACGCUGGCGGCGGGCUUAAUACAUGCAAGUCGAACGGAAAGACCCUGCUGUUGUCUGGUGCUCGAGUGGCGAACGGGUGAGUAAGACAUGAGUAGCCUGCCGUUGACUUUGGGAUAACUUCAUGAAACUAGGUCUAAUACCGGAUAAGAGCUCCUGCGGCAGGAAGGGGGGUAGAAAGUUUCGGCGGUUGGGGAUGGACUCGCGGCUUAUCAUCGUUUUGGUGGGGUAGUGGCUUACCAAGGCAUUGACGGGUAGGCGGCCUGUGAGGGUGGCCGGCGCCAUUGGGACUGCGGGACGGCGCAGACUCCAAUGUGAGGCAGUAGUGGGGAAUCUUGCCCAGUGGGCCGACGUCUGAUGCAGAGACGCUGCGUGUGUGAUGACGGCUUUUGCGUUGUAAACCGCUUUCGGCUGUGACCCAGCUGGAGUGACGGUACUGGGUAAAGAAGCACCGGCUAACUACGUG